GCUGGAGGUAUCAGAAGUGCGAAUGCUGACAUAAGUAACGAUAAAGCGGGUGAAAAGCCCGCUCGCCGGAAGACCAAGGGUUCCUGUCCAACGUUAAUCGGGGCAGGGUGAGUCGACCCCUAAGGCGAGGCCGAAAGGCGUAGUCGAUGGGAAACGGGUUAAUAUUCCCGUACUUGGUGUUACUGCGAAGGGGGGACGGAGAAGGCUAUGUUGGCCGGGCGACGGUUGUCCCGGUUUAAGCGUGUAGGUGUGUGUUCCAGGUAAAUCCGGUUCACUUUAACACUGAGGCGUGACGACGAGGCACUACGGUGCUGAAGCAACAAAUGCCCUGCUUCCAGGAAAAGCCUCUAAGCAUCAGGUAACAUCAAAUCGUACCCCAAACCGACACAGGUGGUCAGGUAGAGAAUACCAAGGCGCUUGAGAGAACUCGGGUGAAGGAACUAGGCAAAAUGGUGCCGUAACUUCGGGAGAAGGCACGCUGACACGUAGGUGAAGUGAUUUACUCAUGGAGCUGAAGUCAGUCGAAGAUACCAGCUGGCUGCAACUGUUUAUUAAAAACACAGCACUGUGCAAACACGAAAGUGGACGUAUACGGUGUGACGCCUGCCCGGUGCCGGAAGGUUAAUUGAUGGGGUCAGCGCAAGCGAAGCUCCUGAUCGAAGCCCCGGUAAACGGCGGCCGUAACUAUAACGGUCCUAAGGUAGCGAAAUUCCUUGUCGGGUAAGUUCCGACCUGCACGAAUGGCGUAAUGAUGGCCAGGCUGUCUCCACCCGAGACUCAGUGAAAUUGAACUCGCUGUGAAGAUGCAGUGUACCCGCGGCAAGACGGAAAGACCCCGUGAACCUUUACUAUAGCUUGACACUGAACAUUGAGCCUUGAUGUGUAGGAUAGGUGGGAGGCUUUGAAGUGUGGACGCCAGUCUGCAUGGAGCCGACCUUGAAAUACCACCCUUUAAUGUUUGAUGUUCUAACGUGGACCCGUAAUCCGGGUUGCGGACAGUGUCUGGUGGGUAGUUUGACUGGGGCGGUCUCCUCCUAAAGAGUAACGGAGGAGCACGAAGGUUGGCUAAUCCUGGUCGGACAUCAGGAGGUUAGUGCAAUGGCAUAAGCCAGCUUGACUGCGAGCGUGACGGCGCGAGCAGGUGCGAAAGCAGGUCAUAGUGAUCCGGUGGUUCUGAAUGGAAGGGCCAUCGCUCAACGGAUAAAAGGUACUCCGGGGAUAACAGGCUGAUACCGCCCAAGAGUUCAUAUCGACGGCGGUGUUUGGCACCUCGAUGUCGGCUCAUCACAUCCUGGGGCUGAAGUAGGUCCCAAGGGUAUGGCUGUUCGCCAUUUAAAGUGGUACGCGAGCUGGGUUUAGAACGUCGUGAGACAGUUCGGUCCCUAUCUGCCGUGGGCGCUGGAGAACUGAGGGGGGCUGCUCCUAGUACGAGAGGACCGGAGUGGACGCAUCACUGGUGUUCGGGUUGUCAUGCCAAUGGCACUGCCCGGUAGCUAAAUGCGGAAGAGAUAAGUGCUGAAAGCAUCUAAGCACGAAACUUGCCCCGAGAUGAGUUCUCCCUGAGACUUAGAGUCUCCUGAAGGAACGUUGAAGACGACGACGUUGAUAGGCCGGGUGUGUAAGCGCAGCGAUGCGUUGAGCUAACCGGUACUAAUGAACCGUGAGGCUUAACCUUACA
Molecule: ribosomal RNA, 1678 nt
Filed under: Salmonella enterica subsp. enterica serovar Benin
Lineage: Bacteria; Pseudomonadati; Pseudomonadota; Gammaproteobacteria; Enterobacterales; Enterobacteriaceae
Description: partial 23S ribosomal RNA
Rfam family: Bacterial large subunit ribosomal RNA
Source: RNAcentral